RNAcentral lists this ribosomal RNA (1047 nucleotides) under bacterium MRLBA1. Its description in RNAcentral is "bacterial SSU rRNA". It matches the Rfam family "Bacterial small subunit ribosomal RNA", at positions 32 to 1080 of the family's 1533-position model. The record is from RNAcentral.
AAAGCUGCGGCAGGCCUAAACAUGCAAGUCGAGCGGUAGAGAGGUGCUUGCACCUCUUGAGAGCGGCGGACGGGUGAGUAAUAUCUAGGAAUCUGCCUGGUAGUGGGGGAUAACGUUCGGAAACGGACGCUAAUACCGCAUACGUCCUACGGGAGAAAGCAGGGGACCUUCGGGCCUUGCGCUAUCAGAUGAGCCUAGAUCGGAUUAGCUAGUUGGUGAGGUAAUGGCUCACCAAGGCUACGAUCCGUAACUGGUCUGAGAGGAUGAUCAGUCACACUGGAACUGAGACACGGUCCAGACUCCUACGGGAGGCAGCAGUGGGGAAUAUUGGACAAUGGGCGAAAGCCUGAUCCAGCCAUGCCGCGUGUGUGAAGAAGGUCUUCGGAUUGUAAAGCACUUUAAGUUGGGAGGAAGGGCAGUUACCUAAUACGUGAUUGUCUUGACGUUACCGACAGAAUAAGCACCGGCUAACUCUGUGCCAGCAGCCGCGGUAAUACAGAGGGUGCAAGCGUUAAUCGGAAUUACUGGGCGUAAAGCGCGCGUAGGUGGUUUGUUAAGUUGAAUGUGAAAUCCCCGGGCUCAACCUGGGAACUGCAUCCAAAACUGGCAAGCUAGAGUAUGGUAGAGGGUAGUGGAAUUUCCUGUGUAGCGGUGAAAUGCGUAGAUAUAGGAAGGAACACCAGUGGCGAANGCGACUACCUGGACUGAUACUGACACUGAGGUGCGAAAGCGUGGGGAGCAAACAGGAUUAGAUACCCUGGUAGUCCACGCCGUAACGAUGUCAACUAGCCGUUGGGAGUCUUGAACUCUUAGUGGCGCAGCUAACGCAUUAANUUGACCGCCUGGGGAGUACGGCCGCAAGUUAAAACUCAAAUGAAUUGACGGGGCCCGCACAAGCGGUGGAGCAUGUGGUUUAAUUUCNAAGCAACGCGAANAACCAUUACCAGCCUUGACAUCCAAUGAACUUUCUAGAGAUAGAUAGUGCCUUCGGGCACAUUGANACAGUGCUGCAUGGCUGUCNUCAGCUCGUGUCGUGAGAUGUUGGGU